CCUACGGGUGGCUGCAGUGGGGAAUAUUGGACAAUGGGCGAAAGCCUGAUCCAGCCAUGCCGCGUGUGUGAAGAAGGCCUUCGGGUUGUAAAGCACUUUCAGUGGGGAAGAAAGCCUUGGGGCUAAUACCCUCGAGGAAGGACAUCACCCACAGAAGAAGCACCGGCUAACUCCGUGCCAGCAGCCGCGGUAAUACGGAGGGUGCGAGCGUUAAUCGGAAUUACUGGGCGUAAAGCGCGCGUAGGCGGUCUGAUAAGCCGGUUGUGAAAGCCCCGGGCUCAACCUGGGAACGGCAUCCGGAACUGUCAGGCUAGAGUGCAGGAGAGGAAGGUAGAAUUCCCGGUGUAGCAGUGAAAUGCGUAGAGAUCGGGAGGAAUACCAGUGGCGAAGGCGGCCUUCUGGACUGACACUGACGCUGAGGUGCGAAAGCGUGGGUAGCAAACAGGAUUAGAUACCCUAGUAGUC
This 465-nucleotide ribosomal RNA is filed under the name Vreelandella stevensii. RNAcentral describes it as "partial 16S ribosomal RNA". It matches the Rfam family "Bacterial small subunit ribosomal RNA", at positions 338 to 795 of the family's 1533-position model. Lineage: Bacteria; Pseudomonadati; Pseudomonadota; Gammaproteobacteria; Oceanospirillales; Halomonadaceae. The record is from RNAcentral.